CACGGACCAAGGAGUCUAACAUGUACGCGAGUCAUUGGGACCGAGCGAUACCUAAAGGCGUAAUGAAAGUGAAGGUCGGCCCUGGUUGUCGACCGAGGGAGGAUGGGCCGCGUCGCGAUGCGGCCCCGCACUCCCGGGGCGUCUCGUUCUCAUCGCGAGAAGAGGCGCACCCAGAGCGUACACGUUGGGACCCGAAAGAUGGUGAACUAUGCCUGGUCAGGACGAAGUCAGGGGAAACCCUGAUGGAGGUCCGUAGCGAUUCUGACGUGCAAAUCGAUCGUCGGAACUGGGUAUAGGGGCGAAAGACUAAUCGAACCAUCUAGUAGCUGGUUCCCUCCGAAGUUUCCCUCAGGAUAGCUGGCACUCGGCCGUUCCGCACGGAACGCGCGCGAGUCUCAUCUGGUAAAGCGAAUGAUUAGAGGCCUUGGGGCCGAAACGACCUCAACCUAUUCUCAAACUUUAAAUGGGUGAGAUCUCUGGCUUUCUUGAACUAUGAAGCCACGAGCAUCUCGGAUCAGAGUGCCAAGUGGGCCAUUUUUGGUAAGCAGA
This 549-nucleotide ribosomal RNA is filed under the name Crematogaster borneensis. RNAcentral's name for it is "partial large subunit ribosomal RNA". It matches the Rfam family "Eukaryotic large subunit ribosomal RNA", at positions 660 to 1148 of the family's 3401-position model. Lineage: Eukaryota; Metazoa; Arthropoda; Insecta; Hymenoptera; Formicidae. The record is from RNAcentral.